CAUUUUAAGGUAUGUUCCUAAAGUUACAGAAAGCUCCUACAUACAAUAGCACUUGUGGAUUUUAGAUAUAACAAAUUAUCUCAGUACAAUAAGGCUGAUGGACUCAAAUUGUAAAGUGUGAAGUCAAGUAGUGGUUGGAUAUCAAGCCCAAUUGAUUGGAAGAUGCAUUAUCCAUACAUAUAAGCAAGUGCUUGCUUAUUGUCUGUUAAGAUCCAAGAAUCUAUUGAAGUUAAACCUGUUCAAAUGGUUGUUUGAGAAUCUUUAGUUGCGAGCC
This 274-nucleotide long non-coding RNA is filed under the name Elaeis guineensis (African oil palm). Its description in RNAcentral is "long non-coding RNA (EGUI_LNC022573)". Lineage: Eukaryota; Viridiplantae; Streptophyta; Magnoliopsida; Arecales; Arecaceae. The record is from RNAcentral.